Molecule: long non-coding RNA, 400 nt
Filed under: Homo sapiens (human)
Lineage: Eukaryota; Metazoa; Chordata; Mammalia; Primates; Hominidae
Description: non-protein coding lnc-OLIG1-3:1
Source: RNAcentral
CGGACCCUCGGCGGACAGGUGGUCGGCGUCGGGGUGCGGAGUACCGGGAGCCCUGAACCGCCCGCUGCUCGGCGGAUCCCAGCUGCGGUGGCGACGGCGGGAAGGCGCUUUCCGCUGUUCCUCAGCGGGCCGGGCCCUUGACCAGCGCGGCCCGCAGGUCUUCCUUCUCGCCGUCUUGCAGUUGAAGAGCUACAUACGUAGUCAGUUUCGAUUUGUUACAGACGUUAACAAAUUCCUUUACCCAAGGUUAUGCUAUGACCUUUCCGCAGUUUACUUUGAUUUUCUAUGUUUAAGGUUUUGGUUGUUGGUAGUAGCCGAAUUUAACUGGCACUUUAUUUUACUUCUAACCUUGUUUCCUGACGGUGUACAGAAUCAACAAAAUAAAACAUUUAAAGUCUGA